RNAcentral lists this non-coding RNA (193 nucleotides) under Evansella cellulosilytica. Lineage: Bacteria; Bacillati; Bacillota; Bacilli; Caryophanales; Bacillaceae. RNAcentral also lists the same sequence under 1 other name. The record is from RNAcentral.
AUAUUGAAAGUUAAAAUAGGUGCUAAAAUUCUCGUGAUAGAAUCUUAGCUUAAUAGGGAAGUUUGGUGAAAAUCCAACGCGGUCCCGCCACUGUAAAUGGGAGCAACCUACAGUAUGUCACUGUCUUAAUGAUGGGAAGACGUAGGAAGCUAUGACCAUGAGCCAGGAAACCUGCCUAUUUUAUUUUUUCACC